This 28-nucleotide ribosomal RNA is filed under the name Brugia malayi. RNAcentral's name for it is "partial 28S ribosomal RNA". The record is from RNAcentral. RNAcentral also lists the same sequence under 2 other names. Lineage: Eukaryota; Metazoa; Nematoda; Chromadorea; Rhabditida; Onchocercidae.
GACCUCAACUCAGUCGUGAUUACCCGCU